Molecule: long non-coding RNA, 132 nt
Organism: Dipodomys ordii (Ord's kangaroo rat)
Lineage: Eukaryota; Metazoa; Chordata; Mammalia; Rodentia; Heteromyidae
Exons: 3
Source: RefSeq, a predicted model, not a curated record
CAAGACCAUAGUAAAGCUACCAGCACAAAUCUGUAUAUUUCAGCCUUGUUCACCAUAGCUAGAAUAUGGAACCAACCCAGUUGCACCUCACUAGUUGAAUGGAUCAAGAAAAUGUCAUAUGUGUGUGUGUAU